CCCUUAGAUGCUCUGGGCCGCACGCGCGCUACACUGGUCGAUGCAACGAGUUUCUUUCCUUGGCCGACAGGCCUGGGCAAUCUUUGAACAUCGAUCGUGAUCGGGAUAGAUUCUUGUAAUUUUUGAUCUUAAACGAGGAAUUCCUAGUAAACGCAAGUCAUCAGCUUGCAUUGAUUACGUCCCUGCCCUUUGUACACACCGCCCGUCGCACCUACCGAUUGAAUGGUCCGGUGAGCUAUUCGGACCUUCGCUUCGUCGAUUUUCGGCUUUGUGAGGGAAAGUCUCGCGAACCUUAUCAUCUAGAGGAAGGAGAANUCGUANCA
Molecule: ribosomal RNA, 323 nt
Filed under: uncultured eukaryote
Lineage: Eukaryota
Description: partial 18S ribosomal RNA
Rfam family: Eukaryotic small subunit ribosomal RNA
Source: RNAcentral